GAACUAGCUUCAGCAGCACAUAUACUAAAAUUGGAACGAUACAGAGAAGAUUAGUAUGGCCCUGUUCAAGGAUGACACACAAAAUUAUGAAGCAUUCCAUACUUUA
RNAcentral lists this small nuclear RNA (106 nucleotides) under Salvator merianae (Argentine black and white tegu). Lineage: Eukaryota; Metazoa; Chordata; Lepidosauria; Squamata; Teiidae. The record is from RNAcentral.